This 987-nucleotide ribosomal RNA is filed under the name uncultured bacterium. RNAcentral describes it as "bacterial SSU rRNA". It matches the Rfam family "Bacterial small subunit ribosomal RNA", at positions 56 to 1035 of the family's 1533-position model. The record is from RNAcentral.
UGCAGUCGAACGGCAGCACGGGGGCAACCCUGGUGGCGAGUGGCGAACGGGUGAGUAAUAUAUCGGAACAUAUCCGGAAGUGGGGGAUAACGUACCGAAAGGUACGCUAAUACCGCAUAUGCCCCGAGGGGGAAAGGAGGGGAUCCGUAAGGACCUUUCGCUUUCGGAGUGGCCGAUAUCGGAUUAGCUAGUUGGUGAGGUAAAGGCUCACCAAGGCGACGAUCCGUAGCUGGUCUGAGAGGACGACCAGCCACACUGGAACUGAGACACGGUCCAGACUCCUACGGGAGGCAGCAAUGGGGAAUUUUGGACAAUGGGGGCAACCCUGGUCCAGCCAUUCCGCGUGAGUGAAGAAGGCCUUCGGGUUGUAAAGCUCUUUCAGCCGGAAAGAAACGGUUACGAAUAAUACUCGUGACUAAUGACGGUACCGGCAGAAGAAGCACCGGCUAACUACGUGCCAGCAGCCGCGGUAAUACGUAGGGUGCGAGCGUUAAUCGGAAUUACUGGGCGUAAAGCGUGCGCAGGCGGUUUGGUAAGACAGACGUGAAAUCCCCGGGCUUAACCUGGGAACUGCGUUUGUGACUGCCAGACUAGAGUGCGGCAGAGGGGGGUAGAAUUCCACGUGUAGCAGUGAAAUGCGUAGAUAUGUGGAGGAAUACCGAUGGCGAANGCAGCCCCCUGGGUCGACACUGACGCUCAUGCACGAAAGCGUGGGGAGCAAACAGGAUUAGAUACCCUGGUAGUCCACGCCCUAAACGAUGUCAACUAGGUGUCGGGGAAGGAGACUUCUUUAGUACCGCAGCUAACGCGAUAAGUUGACCGCCUGGGGAGUACGGUCGCAAGAUUAAAACUCAAAGGAAUUGACGGGGACCCGCACAAGCGGUGGNNUNUGUGGAUUAAUUCGAUGCAACGCGAAAAACCUUACCUACCCUUGACAUGUCAGAANAUUGCANANNUGUGAUUGUGCCCGAAAGGGAAUCUGANCAC